This 72-nucleotide transfer RNA is filed under the name Camelus bactrianus (Bactrian camel). It matches the Rfam family "tRNA". Rfam says of the family: Transfer RNA (tRNA) molecules are approximately 80 nucleotides in length. Their secondary structure includes four short double-helical elements and three loops (D, anti-codon, and T loops). Lineage: Eukaryota; Metazoa; Chordata; Mammalia; Artiodactyla; Camelidae. The record is from Rfam by way of RNAcentral. RNAcentral also lists the same sequence under 1 other name.
GAGGGUAUGGCUUAGUGGUAGAGCACAUGCCUAGCGUGCACAAGGUCGUGGGUUCAAUUCCCAGUACCUCCA